CAAACUUGGUCAUUUAGAGGAAGUAAAAGUCGUAACAAGGUUUCCGUAGGCGAACCUGCGGAAGGAUCAUUCAUAAUAAGUGUUUUAUGGCACUUUUUAAAUCCAUAUCCACCUUGUGUGCAAUGUCAGUUGAUCUUCUUUAUGGAGAUCGACCAAACAUCAACCUAUUUUUUUAACUCUUUGUCUGAAAAAUAUUAUGAAUAAAUAAUUCAAAAUACAACUUUCAACAACGGAUCUCUUGGCUCUCGCAUCGAUGAAGAACGCAGCGAAAUGCGAUACGUAAUGUGAAUUGCAGAAUUCAGUGAAUCAUCGAAUCUUUGAACGCAUAUUGCGCUCUUUGGUAUUCCGAAGAGCAUGCUUGUUUGAGUAUCAGUAAACACCUCAAAGCUUUUGAUUUUUUUUAAAAGUUUUGGACUUGAGCAAUCCCAACACCAGUCUUUUACAGAUCGGCGGCGGGUUGCUUGAAAUGCAGGUGCAGCUGGACAUUCUCCUGAGCUAAAAGCAUAUUUAUUUAGUCCCGUCAAACGGAUUAUUACUUUUGCUGCAGCUAAUAUAAAGGGAGUUUGACCGUAUUGGCUGACUGAUGCAGGAUUUCACAAGGGUCGGCAACGAUUCUUGUAAAACUCGAUCUCAAAUCAAGUAAGACUACCCGCUGAACUUAAGCAUAUCAAUAAGCGGAGGA
This 682-nucleotide ribosomal RNA is filed under the name uncultured Mortierella. Its description in RNAcentral is "eukaryotic LSU rRNA". The stretch from base 219 to 372 matches the Rfam family "5.8S ribosomal RNA". Lineage: Eukaryota; Fungi; Mortierellomycota; Mortierellomycetes; Mortierellales; Mortierellaceae. The record is from RNAcentral.